AUAUUAAAGUUGUUGUGGUUAAAAAGCUCGUAGUUGGAUCUCAGCUCAUGCCAAGCGGACCACUUCGGUGGUUACUGCUUGGCUGAGUUACCUAUGGAUUAGUCUUUUGAUACUCUUAACCGAGUGUCUUAAGCGAUCCAUCUAUUUACUUUGAACAAAUUAGAGUGCUUCAAGCAGGCAUUCGCCCGGAUAAUCAUGCAUGGAAUAAUAGAAUAGGACUUCGGUUCUAUUCUGUUGGUCUUUGGAUCCGAAGUAAUGAUUAAUAGGGACAGACGGGGGCAUUAGUAUUACGGCGCUAGAGGUGAAAUUCUUGGACCGUCGUAAGACUAACAACAGCGAAAGCAUUUGCCAAGAAUGUUUUCAUUAAUCAAGAACGAAAGUUAGAGGUUCGAAGGCGAUCAGAUACCGCCCUAGUUCUAACCAUAAACGAUGCUAACCAGCGAUCAGUCUGAGUACUAUCAAGGACUCGACUGGAAGCUUCCUCGGGAAACCAAAGUUUUUGGGUUCCAGGGGAAGUAUGGUUGCAAAACUGAAACUUAAAGGAAUUGACGGAAGGGCACCACCAGGAGUGGAGCCUGC
RNAcentral lists this ribosomal RNA (579 nucleotides) under Unionicola sp. 1 JH-2021. Its description in RNAcentral is "SSU rRNA". It matches the Rfam family "Eukaryotic small subunit ribosomal RNA", at positions 601 to 1186 of the family's 1831-position model. Lineage: Eukaryota; Metazoa; Arthropoda; Arachnida; Trombidiformes; Unionicolidae. The record is from RNAcentral.